AGGUUGAUGAUAAGAACUCACAUUGAUAUGAAGAAAGAUGAUGACUUAAAAAUCAUGCUCAAUAGGAUUACACUGAGGCCU
Molecule: small nucleolar RNA, 81 nt
Gene: SNORD115
Rfam family: Small nucleolar RNA SNORD115
About the family: HBII-52 is a member of the C/D class of snoRNAs, which contain the C (UGAUGA) and D (CUGA) box motifs. HBII-52 is encoded in a tandemly repeated array with another C/D snoRNA, HBII-85, in the Prader-Willi syndrome (PWS) region of chromosome 15. HBII-52 is exclusively expressed in the brain but is absent in PWS patients.
Source: Ensembl